GCCGUGGUAGCUCAGUUGGUAGAGCAAAGGACUGAAAAUCCUUGUGUCGGUGGUUCGAUUCCGCCUCACGGCA
Molecule: transfer RNA, 73 nt
Filed under: Prevotellaceae bacterium
Lineage: Bacteria; Pseudomonadati; Bacteroidota; Bacteroidia; Bacteroidales; Prevotellaceae
Description: tRNA-Phe
Rfam family: tRNA
About the family: Transfer RNA (tRNA) molecules are approximately 80 nucleotides in length. Their secondary structure includes four short double-helical elements and three loops (D, anti-codon, and T loops).
Source: RNAcentral